GGAUAUCCAGGACAAAGCAAUUGGCUACCUACGGACAGGAUACCAGAACCAGCUGACAUACAAACAUCGUGAUGGUUCCUUCAGUGCGUUUGGAGGCACAGAUCAUGAGGGAAUUACCUGGUUGACAGCCUUUGUGAUGAAAUCAUUUGCAAGUGCUCGUCAAUACAUCUUCAUUGAUAAUGACACCCUUGGAGACGCUGUCAAAUUCUUCCAGAGACAUCAACUGGAGUCGGGUUGUUUCCGUAACCUUGGAUAUUUGUUCAACAAUGCCCUCAAGGUACCAAGGGGAAAAGACAGUACCGAGGGUCAGGGAUCAAAAGAAUUGGUAUUUAAGGUCAAUAAGGCGCCAGGACUGGCUGAGAUGCAUUGAAAGAUUUUGA
Non-coding RNA from Chiloscyllium plagiosum (whitespotted bambooshark), 380 nucleotides. Lineage: Eukaryota; Metazoa; Chordata; Chondrichthyes; Orectolobiformes; Hemiscylliidae. The record is from RefSeq and is a predicted model, not a curated record.